AGCGAACGUUAGCGGCGCGCCUAACACAUGCAAGUCGCACGAGAAAGGGAGCAAUCCCCGGUACAGUGGCGCACGGGUGAGUAACACGUAGAUGACCUUCCCUGGAGUGGUGGAUAACCUGCCGAAAGGCGGGCUAAUACAGCAUGGGACCACAUGGUUUUGACCGAGUGGUGAAAGCGGGCCUCUGUUCACAAGCUCGCGCUCUGGGAUGGGUCUGCGUCCCAUCAGCUAGUUGGUGAGGUAAUGGCUCACCAAGGCAUCGACGGGUAGCUGGUCUGAGAGGAUGACCAGCCACACUGGAACUGAGACACGGUCCAGACUCCUACGGGAGGCAGCAGUGGGGAAUCUUGCGCAAUGGGCGAAAGCCUGACGCAGCGACGCCGCGUGGGUGAUGAAGGCCUUCGG
RNAcentral lists this ribosomal RNA (405 nucleotides) under uncultured bacterium. RNAcentral's name for it is "bacterial SSU rRNA". It matches the Rfam family "Bacterial small subunit ribosomal RNA", at positions 29 to 421 of the family's 1533-position model. The record is from RNAcentral.